CUGUUUCCUCACCUGCCUAGUGGGGUAAUACCGUUUGGCACCGUGUUGAUUUAUGGGGACUUUACCCAGGCAGAUUAGGUAAUGGAGUGGCAUUCCCUAAGAAAAAGAAAGCCUGUUUAUUUUAUAGUGCACAAGCAACAAUCUUUAUUUACUGUUUACUAUCCACUGGGCCCCUGAAACUUCAGGUGAGAGAGAAGAAAAUACCUCCUUUCCCCUAAUCGACUCUUGUUCAUUUUAGGGGGCACUUCUUGGGUCUCCCUAACAAAUUGGUGUUUUAAUACUUCCUCCUCCUGGGCUAUUUGCAUUAAAAACAAUAAAAAGGACUGGAGGCCAACACUCACUCCUAGGGUGGUGGGGCUUGUGUCUGGAUGUCCCUGAGGCCACUUACUAACCACAGAUCUUAAGGGAACAAUUCAACCCAUCUGAGUCUGUUUCCUUUUCUGAAAAACAGGAAUAAGAACACCAUCUCCUGCAGAAUGGUCAAGAUGAGAGACAAUGUAUACAGCUUAUACUACAGCGCUGGGCACUCAGUAGCACCUAGGAUCAUGGCCCCAGAAAGCAGAGCAGUCUUCCAGAUCCCCUCUAGUCACACCGAUGACAAGAACCAGCUGGUGGCAGUGGAGGGGCUGGGAUGCUGGAGGACCCAGAGGGGAAUGAAGCUGACAGGAUCACCGGGCUAAUUUAAUUGGCUGGGCAACCUGAGAAGAAGGGAGAAAGCUUUGUAAAGAAAAUGGAUUUAGCAAGGACAAAACAACGUUUACAAUAUGGCUCCUGGGGCAGCUUCAACAUGCCGAGCUCAAGAAGUUCCAUGCUC
Long non-coding RNA from Myotis brandtii (Brandt's bat), 814 nucleotides. RefSeq lists it as uncharacterized. NCBI's taxonomy places the organism in Eukaryota, Metazoa, Chordata, Mammalia, Chiroptera, Vespertilionidae. The transcript is spliced from 3 exons. The record is from RefSeq and is a predicted model, not a curated record.